UACGUAGGGGGCUAGCGUUGUCCGGAAUCAUUGGGCGUAAAGAGCGCGUAGGCGGCCAGAUAAGUCCGGUGUGAAAGUCAAAGGCUCAACCUUUGAAUGCCGCUGGAAACUGUCUGGCUAGAGUCCGGAAGGGGCGAGUGGAAUUCCUGGUGUAGCGGUGAAAUGCGCAGAUAUCAGGAGGAACACCAAUGGCGAAGGCAGCUCGCUGGAACGGUACUGACGCUGUGGCGCGAAAGCGUGGGGAGCAAACAGG
RNAcentral lists this ribosomal RNA (253 nucleotides) under uncultured bacterium. RNAcentral's name for it is "partial 16S ribosomal RNA". It matches the Rfam family "Bacterial small subunit ribosomal RNA", at positions 524 to 776 of the family's 1533-position model. The record is from RNAcentral.